This 820-nucleotide ribosomal RNA is filed under the name Bacillus anthracis (anthrax bacterium). RNAcentral's name for it is "bacterial SSU rRNA". The stretch from base 253 to 820 matches the Rfam family "Bacterial small subunit ribosomal RNA", at positions 875 to 1473 of the family's 1533-position model. The record is from RNAcentral. Lineage: Bacteria; Bacillati; Bacillota; Bacilli; Caryophanales; Bacillaceae.
CACGCUGGCUUGCACACCGGCGAGAACACAUAAUCUCAUACUGCGUGAUAAUAUACCACGACUCGUCUUUUCAAUCCAAAUUACUGGGGGUCAAUCAGCCUUGGUGUGCGCAACAUCUUCUCCCAUCUCCGGGGGUGCAAACCCGCAGAGGAUAUUGGGGAAUAAAAUUCGGAAAACGCCCGCCCUCACCAAAAAAGGUUUUCGGCCUCUUGUGGGAAUUUUUCCGGUUUAAAAUUCCCCCUCAGGUUAUCGGGGGAGGCUGGACCCCAAAAGGAAUUAAAAGCCGCACAAGCCUGGGCCAACUGCCGAUUCGUGCAACCCGAAGAAAAUAACCCGGUUGGCCAUCCUUGACACCCCCAAUGAUAAGGCUUUUCCUUCUUGUGCAGAAUGAAAAUAGGGCCUGGGUUUUUUCAGUCCGUCUCCUGAGGUGUGGUUAAUCCCCCAACGAGCGCAACCCUUGAUCUUAGUUCCACCAUUUUUUGGGCACUUUAAAGUGACUGCCGGUGACCAACCGGAGGAAGGUGGGGGGGCGUCAAAUCAUCAUGCCCCUUAUGACCUGGGCUACACACGUGCUACAAUGGACGGUACAAAGAGCUGCAAGACCCCGAGGUGGAGCUAAUCUCAUAAAACCGUUCUCAGUUCGGAUUGUAGGCUGCAACUCGCCUACAUGAAGCUGGAAUCGCUAGUAAUCGCGGAUCAGCAUGCCGCGGUGAAUACGUUCCCGGGCCUUGUACACACCGCCCGUCACACCACGAGAGUUUGUAACACCCGAAGUCGGUGGGGUAACCUUUUGGAGCCAGCCGCCUAAGGUGAUACAUCG